This 306-nucleotide ribosomal RNA is filed under the name uncultured bacterium. RNAcentral's name for it is "partial 16S ribosomal RNA". It matches the Rfam family "Bacterial small subunit ribosomal RNA", at positions 507 to 807 of the family's 1533-position model. The record is from RNAcentral.
GACAGCAGUAGCCGCGGUAAUACGAAGGGGGCUAGCGUUGUUCGGAAUUACUGGGCGUAAAGCGCACGUAGGCGGAUCGAUCAGUCAGGGGUGAAAUCCCAGGGCUCAACCCUGGAACUGCCUUUGAUACUGUCGAUCUGGAGUAUGGAAGAGGUGAGUGGAAUUCCGAGUGUAGAGGUGAAAUUCGUAGAUAUUCGGAGGAACACCAGUGGCGAAGGCGGCUCACUGGUCCAUUACUGACGCUGAGGUGCGAAAGCGUGGGGAGCAAACAGGAUUAGAUACCCCAGUAGUCCCUGUCUCUUAUAC